AUUCCAGCUGAUCCUGCUGGAGGAUACUGCUAUCGGAAUUCGACUAAGCCAUGCAAGUCUGAGAGGUUCGUACGAGCCUCUGGCAUACGGCUCAGUAACACGUAGUUAACCUACCCAUUGGAGGGGCAAAACCCGGGAAACUGGGCAUAAUACCCCAUAGGCAAUCGGUGCUGGAAGGCUCUUUUGCCCAAACGAAAAACCCCUUACGGUGUAUCGCCGGUGGAUGGGACUGCGGGGGAUUAGGCUGUUGGCGGGGUAACUGCCCACCAAACCUACGAUCCCUACGGGCAAUGUAAGUUGGAGCCCGGAGAAGGGUACUGAGAUAAGGACCCUAGCCCUACGGGGUGCAGCAGGCGCGAAAAUUCUGCAAUGCGCGAAAGCGUGACAGAGGAAUUCCGAGUGGUCCUCACGGACCUUUUAUCAGGUCUAGAAAGCCUGAUGAAUAAGGGGGGGGCAACAUGCGUGCCAGCCGCCGCGGUAAUACGCAGCGCCCGAGUGGUAUCCACUAAUAUUGGGCCUAAAGCGUCCGUAGCCGGCCCUGUAAGUCCUCGGUGAAAUCGGCUCGCUUAACGAGUCGAAUGGCCAAGGAUACUGCAAGGCUCGAGGUCGGAAGACGUAGAGGGAAUUUCAGGGGUAGCGGUGAAAUGCUGUGAUCCUUGAAGGACCACCCGUAGCGAAGGCGCUCUACGAGGACGAACCUGACGGUGAGGGACGAAAGCUGAGGGAGCGACCCGGAUUAGAUACCCGGUUAGUCUCAGCCGUAAACGAUGCGGACUAGGUGUACUAGCACUCACGAAGUGCGGGUGUGCCGAAGAGAAGUCAUUAAGUCCGCCGCCUGGGAAGUACACUCGCAAGGGUGAAACUUAAUGGAAUUGGCGGGAGCGCACUACAAGGGGUGGAUGCUGCGGUUUAAUCGGACUCAACGCCAAACAACUCACCAGGGGCGACAGCAGGAUGAUGGACAGUCUAAAGGGCUUUCCUGACACGCUGAGAGGUGUUGUAUGGUCAUCGUCAGCUCGUACUAUGAAGCGUCCUGUCAACUCAGGCAACGGGGGAUGGGAGCACUCUAGGGGGACAGCGAGAGCAAUCUCGAGGAAGGAGUGGGCUACGGUAGAUCUGUAUGGCCCGAAUCUCCUGGGCUACACGCGGCACACAAUGGUUGGGACAAUGGGUCCCUAACCCGAAAGGGCACGGUAAUCCCCUAAACCCAACCUCAGUUCGGAUUGAGGGUUGGAACUCACCCUCAUGAAGUUGGAAUCCCCAGUAAUCGCGCGUCACUAUCGCGCGGUGAAUAUGUCCCUGCGCUUUGCACACACCGCCCAUCAAGCCAUUCGAGUAGAGUCCAGAUGAAUUGCAAUUCUUCACUGAGCUGCACUGAUUCUGGGUUUUGCGAGAAGGGCUAAGUUGUAACAAGGUGUCCGUAGGGGAACCUGCGGACGGAUCACCUCCU
Molecule: ribosomal RNA, 1450 nt
Filed under: Candidatus Iainarchaeum sp.
Lineage: Archaea; Nanobdellati; Candidatus Iainarchaeota; Candidatus Iainarchaeia; Candidatus Iainarchaeales; Candidatus Iainarchaeaceae
Description: 16S ribosomal RNA
Rfam family: Archaeal small subunit ribosomal RNA
Source: RNAcentral